This 276-nucleotide ribosomal RNA is filed under the name uncultured Staphylococcus sp. RNAcentral's name for it is "partial 16S ribosomal RNA". It matches the Rfam family "Bacterial small subunit ribosomal RNA", at positions 86 to 355 of the family's 1533-position model. Lineage: Bacteria; Bacillati; Bacillota; Bacilli; Caryophanales; Staphylococcaceae. The record is from RNAcentral.
CUGACGUUAGCGGCGGACGGGUGAGUAACACGUGGGUAACCUACCUAUAAGACUGGGAUAACUCCGGGAAACCGGGGCUAAUACCGGAUAACACAUGAAACCGCAUGGUUUCAUGAUGAAAGACGGUUUUGCUGUCACUUAUAGAUGGACCCGCGGCGUAUUAGCUAGUUGGUAAGGUAACGGCUUACCAAGGCAACGAUACGUAGCCGACCUGAGAGGGUGAUCGGCCACACUGGAACUGAGACACGGUCCAGACUCCUACGGGAGGCAGCAGUA